This 864-nucleotide ribosomal RNA is filed under the name Clostridium sp. AU809_Ted2_ASWanaero. RNAcentral's name for it is "bacterial SSU rRNA". It matches the Rfam family "Bacterial small subunit ribosomal RNA", at positions 56 to 919 of the family's 1533-position model. The record is from RNAcentral. Lineage: Bacteria; Bacillati; Bacillota; Clostridia; Eubacteriales; Clostridiaceae.
UGCAGUCGAGCGGAGAUAUUUAAACGGAAGGUUUCGGCUGAAAGUUUGAAUAUUUUAGCGGCGGACGGGUGAGUAACGUGUGGGCAACCUGCCCUGUACUGUGGAAUAAUCACUGGAAACGGUGACUAAUACCGCAUGUCAUUGCGAGAGGGCAUCCUCUUGCAAGAAAAGGAUUUAUUCGGUACAGGAUGGGCCCGCAUCUGAUUAGCUAGUUGGUGAGAUAACAGCCCACCAAGGCAACGAUCAGUAGCCGACCUGAGAGGGUGAUCGGCCACAUUGGGACUGAGACACGGCCCAAACUCCUACGGGAGGCAGCAGUGGGGAAUAUUGCACAAUGGGCGAAAGCCUGAUGCAGCAACGCCGCGUGAAGGAUGAAGGGUUUCGGCUCGUAAACUUCUAUCAACAGGGACGAAAAAAAUGACGGUACCUGAAUAAGAAGCCCCGGCUAACUACGUGCCAGCAGCCGCGGUAAUACGUAGGGGGCAAGCGUUAUCCGGAAUUACUGGGUGUAAAGGGAGAGUAGGCGGCAUGGUAAGUUAGAUGUGAAAGCCCGAGGCUUAACCUCGGGAUUGCAUUUAAAACUAUCAAGCUAGAGUACAGGAGAGGUAAGUGGAAUUCCUAGUGUAGCGGUGAAAUGCGUAGAUAUUAGGAAGAACACCAGUGGCGAAGGCGACUUACUGGACUGAAACUGACGCUGAGGCUCGAAAGCGUGGGGAGCGAACAGGAUUAGAUACCCUGGUAGUCCACGCCGUAAACGAUGAGUGCUAGGUGUCGGGGGGGAACCCUCGGUGCCGCAGCUAACGCAAUAAGCACUCCACCUGGGGAGUACGAUCGCAGAUUGAAACUCAAAGGAAUUGACGGGGG